Chlorocebus sabaeus (green monkey) is the source of this 1985-nucleotide non-coding RNA. The record is from RefSeq and is a predicted model, not a curated record. Lineage: Eukaryota; Metazoa; Chordata; Mammalia; Primates; Cercopithecidae.
GGGAUGGCUCCGGAGGAGGGAGCCGCCCAGACCCAGCCCGGGGGGCGAACGAAGAGCGGGCGUGGUGGGCGCCUGCUAGCUCCGGCUUGCGGGGUUGGGCCUUGGGGACAUCGCUCGGGGAGGGGAGAGCCCCGGGCCCCGGCCGCCCCGCGCCGUGGCCGGGAAGGGGGACACAGCCCAGCGUGGGGCGCCCGACGGCUUCUCCCAGCAGCCCGAGCCCCAGCGCAGGCGGCGGCCCGGCCCCUUUGUGCCUGGCGUGUCACGCGCGGGCGCUCCCGCCGCCGCGCCCGGGAGAGGCCCCCGGCACCCCGGGCCCCUUUCCAAGCACAACAGCGGCCCCGCCGCGGCCCCGCGCUGACCCACUUUCCCUCCCGCCUCCUCGACCCGAAGCUGAGAAUCCAGCGGCCGCCGCCAAGCAGAUCUCAUCCCGUCAGUUGAAGACCUUAAGAGAAAAGAGACUGACCUGCUCCGAGCCAGGAGGGAUUCUGCUGGCAGACUGCUCGUGAACUCCAACUUGGAAUAUCAGUCUCCAGCCUACCAGCUUACUCUGCAGAUUUUGGAUUUACCAAGCCUCCACAAUCGCAGAAGCCAAGUCCUCAAAAUAAAUCCCUUAAAACAGUUCCCUAAAAUAAAUUCUUCAAAAUUCCUUAAAAUAAAUAUGUGUGCAUGUGUGUGUCGGUGUAUAUAUAUAUCCUAUGUAAUGUCUAAUAUAGAUCUAUAAUAUAUAUUAGAUAAAUAUACACAUAUUUAUCAUAUAUAUGUGUGUGUGUGUGUAUGUUUCUCCUAUAGGUUCUGUUCUCUGGAGAACCUAAUACUGAAACAGAUCUGUUUUUUCAUCUACCCUCUGUAUCAUCGGGUCUCUGUUAGAACAGAAAUUCACCAAUGUUCUGGUCUGUUGGUGGCAUUUUUCCUGGUUUUCAAGGGCUUGAAAACCCUGGCUCUCAGACGUCUCCAGAGCGCCUGGCCAAGAGUGAGAAGAUGCAAAUGUUUAUUUGGUCUGACUUUGAAAUACCUCGGUGCAGCUGAAAUAAUUGCAGGCAGCCCCGUGAGCAGCAGCACUUCCCGACCUUCUCACAUGCAAACCCUCUGCUGCAGCCGCCAAGCGCCCUCGCGAGACACCUGAGGGGCAGCCCAGCCCCUCCCUCCCUGGGCCGCACGGGCCGUGCCGCAGCUGGUCACCCGCACGAGGACCUCGGGGUUGCCCUGCAGACUGGCACUUCUGCAGGGAAGUGAUGGCAGCUGCCGUGGAGCCAGCAUUUGUCGGGGACCUGGCACCCAGGCCACCGGCUCUGGGAGAGGGCUGCGGGGCUGCGGGGCUCACCUUUCAGGGAUUAGCUUGUGCCACUUGACUUGUUCCCCCAAAUCCUACAAGUACAGAGGAUGUGCAGAAAUCUGAGAGAAACAACCUCCGCAGCUGGUUGUUGUGGGGAUUAAAUUAGUAAGAUGCCUAGAAAAUACGAUUGAGGAGUGUGGGUGCCUGUGACUUGGCGGUGGGUGGGCUCCACUCACCACCCUCCCUCUGCACCUGUCGGAGGCAUUUGAACCAGAGCAACUCCAUUUUGAAUAGGGGCCGGUAAAAUAAGGCUAAGACCUACUGGGCUGCAUUCCCAGACGGUUAAGGCAUUCUAAGUCACAGGAUGAGAUAUGAGGUCGGCACAAGAUACAGGUCAUAAAGACCACGCUGAUAAAACAGGUUGCUGUAGAGAAGCUGGCUAAAACCCAAAAUGGCAACAAGAUGUGUCCUUUGGUCGUCCUCAGGGCUACACUCCCACCACCACCAUGACAGUUUACAAAUGCCAUGGCAACAUCAGGAAGUUACCCUAUAUGGUCUGAAAAGAGGAGGUAUGAAUAAUCCACCUCUUGUUUAGUAUAUAUUCAAGAAAUAACCAUUAAAAUGGGCAAACUGCAGCCCUUGGGGCUGCUCUGUCUAUGGAGUAGCUGGUCUUUUACCCCUUUAAUUUCCUAAUAAACUUACUUUCACUUUA